RNAcentral lists this long non-coding RNA (1031 nucleotides) under Homo sapiens (human). RNAcentral describes it as "HSALNT0211947". The record is from RNAcentral. Lineage: Eukaryota; Metazoa; Chordata; Mammalia; Primates; Hominidae.
CUCCUUUGUCAUUUUUAUCUCCAAAUAGAAGACCUCUGUUUUCCCAGAAGAUUAAAUAGUAGAAAAGAAGUAGCCCAAGCCCUGGACAACUUUCAGGAAGACAGUUCUGGUCUGUAGCAAUUAACACAUGGUCAUCCUCAGAAAAAGGAGAUACCCAUAACUUAAAAUGCAGGAACCAAGAGAUUUGAGCCUAGACAUUUGGAUGAAAAGCGAUUUCCACCUGGAGAAAGUCACUGCCCUUCUGUGCAGAGUACCAUUGUGUCUUGAAUCCAGCUUGGCCAUAAGGAAAUGGGGCGAGACUUUGUCAUGUAUGUCGCUGAAGUUCAGCUAUGCAAAAAUGUUCACCUAUCCUUGAUCAACCAGUCCAGGAACCAUCAAAGAAGAAAAUGAGAUUCGACUUAGAAGACCUGUUCUUUAUAAACCCCUGCACAGCCCUAAUGAUCAACACCACUUCCAGUGCUCAUAAAUUACUGCUUCAAUAAUUGUUCUGCAAUUCUGCCUAUUCUCAUUGAAUGCUUCGUAUAAUCCCUUUAUUUACUUUGGGCUACGAUUCAUUUUUAUCAGUCAAAUGACUACUAGACUAUCCUGGUUUCUAAUUUGAAAUGUAUCCAAAGAAGAUUCCUGUCUCACCCUCUGCAAUCCACUUGCAUGUCUGACCACACUCGGUGCCUACACAAUCUUCACUUUGUCUAGCCUAAAUUCUUCUAACUGUGGCCUAAGGCCUUGGAAGAAUGAUGCCUCUGUGGGGUAAGAACUGCCUUCGUGGCAUAAGAAAGGCAGACCUGGGUGAUCUGGAAGGGCUGUUGCAAGGGGAUAGGAGUGCUGAGGCCUUUUCCAUUAAGAAUACACAGGACUAUGGAGACUCUUGUUUUACUAGAAACUUCUUCACAGAUACCUUAAAUUAGGAAGAAAAUGCCUUUGGUUCUUGGUUCUACUAUUGGCUUCAAAUUCUUAGGCAUGCCAGACCCUACUGAACAUCUUGACACAUGUCCUUUCUUCUCUGAACUGGCGCACAGGCAUGGUGAGUAACU